CCAAACACUGCCAGGCCGCCUCAGUACGCUCCCGGACGCGCUAGGAGUAACGUCGACGUGAGUGAGCUGCUGUCAGUCCUCUCUCGCACACUCACUGGCUCACAGGAACGUGCUUGCUGCCGCUGCCAUUACUACUACUACUCUCCCUACCCACCUCCCACUCCCUCUUGUUGACAUGUGAUGUGCCUCGUCGUCCACCCGCGAUUUUUUGGAGACGAGUUGAGCCGUUCUUCGUACAGGUGGGCGGACACUGGGGACAAGGUGACGUGAAGGACCCUAAAGGAGCCUGAUAAUGACCUACGCUGAAGGAGCUGUCUGUACUGGGAAUUCCCACUGAUCUCACCAUAAGAUUAAGGGAAGAGAAAAUAACAGGAAAAUCUGGACAGGAACAAAAAACCUCUUGGGGGAUUUUUAAGAUUUUUUUUUCUUGGGAGAUCAAAAGAAAUUCAGCAGAAAAGAAAGACAAAGACAAAGGGAGAGAAAGAGAGAGAGAGAAAGAAAGAGAAAACCUUAAUUUUCUUUAAUAUUCUCUCUUAGACUAUAGUAAACUGAACUGAUAUAAUAAACAUAAACUUUCAUAAAUGCCAUUAUAGUGAUUUUUUAAGAAAGAUAAACAAUUAGUACCGAAAAAAAUCUCAUAGUAAGUUUUCUGUGACGGGGAAAAUUGAACAGAUCUAAGCAGUAAAACCCGAAAAAAAUUGAUCUAGUGAUUUUCUGUAACUUUAAGAAAAAAUUUGAUAAACAUAAGCAGAAAAAAACACUUAUAUAUACCUAUUGAAUUUAGAACUAUAUAAACAAACAAAAAACGGUU
Homarus americanus (American lobster) is the source of this 811-nucleotide long non-coding RNA. RefSeq lists it as uncharacterized. The record is from RefSeq and is a predicted model, not a curated record. The transcript has 2 exons. Lineage: Eukaryota; Metazoa; Arthropoda; Malacostraca; Decapoda; Nephropidae.